This 800-nucleotide long non-coding RNA is filed under the name Monodelphis domestica (gray short-tailed opossum). Its description in RNAcentral is "lncRNA (ENSMODG00000049878.1)". Lineage: Eukaryota; Metazoa; Chordata; Mammalia; Didelphimorphia; Didelphidae. The record is from RNAcentral.
AUCCAUUGUGCCACCUACCUGCUCCAAAAUAAAAUAUACAGGGAUAUAAAGGAAAUCAAUUAUAUUGAAAUGAAAUUAUCCAAAUAAUCUUACAUCUAGUCUGAUCUCCUUAUUUUACAGAUGAGGAAACUGAGGACCAAAGUGACUUGUCCAGAGUCACAUGGAGAACAACAGAAUCAUAGCAUUGGAGAGCUCUAAGGGACCUCUUUGGGUAUAUAGUCCAACCCAUACCUAUAAGGAAUCCCCACUAGAAGAUACCUGACAAAAUAUCAUUUAAUCUCUGCUCAGAGAACUCCAAGGAGAAGGUCUCUUCUACUACCCCUUGACACAGCACAUUUUACUUUGGGACAGCUCUGAUUAAUGUUCCUAACAGAUGGGGAAAGGAAGACAUUUGCCUAUCAGGAAAAGAAGGGUGGUAACAAAGCCCCUUAUAUUAUGGUACAAGUUUACUUCUGAUGAAAAAACAUCUAUUUUAAUAGUGUGAUAUAAUAGUAUUGUCUAUUACAUGAGGUGUCCCAAGAGCCCAUGCAGUUUUAAACUUUGAUAGCUUACAGACAAGAAAAACAAAACAGUCCUUGUCUUCAAUGAACUUACCUUCUAAUAGGAGAGUUGAUGUGUCUAAAACUGAUGCCUGGACAGGUGAUUUACUUGCCCAGAGUCACAUAGGGAGCAGAUGCCCGGUUUGAAGUCAGGAAUUCCUAACCCAGAGUUUUUCCACUAUGAGACCCUGCCUUUCAUUUGUUGGGCAGACCCUGAGGUUGGAUAAUAAAAAACCCAGAAUUGAUUUAUAGAAGGAGACU